Molecule: long non-coding RNA, 557 nt
Filed under: Cricetulus griseus (Chinese hamster)
Lineage: Eukaryota; Metazoa; Chordata; Mammalia; Rodentia; Cricetidae
Description: lncRNA (ENSCGRG00015037605.1)
Source: RNAcentral
AUAUGAGUAAUUACUCUAGCGCUCCUUUGUGCCUGAGGAUUUAAGUUUCCAGCCCUGCCAAUAGAUGAAGUAAUAUAAAGCCAUCAUCACUGAAGCACACAGGUUCAACAGUGGGUCUAAAUACUCAGUCUUGGCCUCUCUGAGUGGCACAGGUCAAGGUUGGUGAUCCUAAGUGUGAAUGAGAACUUGGUGGGAGCUGCAUGGGACCCAGUGUUCGUAGUCACGGACAACAUUAAAGGGGAAGAGACAGCAUCUAACCAGGAGGUUUAAAAUGAACCAACUUACGGCAACUCAGAACUUUCUGCUUGCUGUGGGAUCCAGGACUAUCCUCUGAGUUCAGAGAUGGUGACUCCAGGAAUAUCAUCUAUUAAGCGGUGAAUUAUCAAUACGUAACCAGACUAAGUUAAAUCAUCAUGUGGCCUCCAGAUAAAUGAAGAGAGACAAGAGCCAAAGUCCAGCUCCAGCUGGCAUCCAGUUGGAGGUCCCAGCAAGAUGAAGACUCCAACUCAAAUUCUGAAGGCAGACCUUCACUUUGGGACUCUGGGACCAGAGUGCUG